GGGAAGGUAGCUCAGUGGUAGAGUGCUUGCCUUGCAUGCAUGAGGUCCUGGGUUUGAAUCCUCACCACCACA
This is a non-coding RNA of Dipodomys ordii (Ord's kangaroo rat), 72 nucleotides long. The record is from Rfam. NCBI's taxonomy places the organism in Eukaryota, Metazoa, Chordata, Mammalia, Rodentia, Heteromyidae.